GUGCAGAUGAUGUGAACGUUUUUUUUACCACUGAGUAAACUGAUGUUUCCAAAGGAACCACUGAUGCAC
Small nucleolar RNA from Pavo cristatus (Indian peafowl), 69 nucleotides. Its record names the gene SNORD42. It matches the Rfam family "Small nucleolar RNA SNORD42". From Rfam's summary of the family: snoRNA U42 is found in intron 3 of the ribosomal protein L23a (RPL23a) gene in humans and is also present in mice. U42 is a member of the C/D class of snoRNA which contain C (UGAUGA) and D (CUGA) box motifs. The record is from Ensembl. Lineage: Eukaryota; Metazoa; Chordata; Aves; Galliformes; Phasianidae.